This 75-nucleotide transfer RNA is filed under the name Candidatus Woesearchaeota archaeon. RNAcentral's name for it is "tRNA-Arg". It matches the Rfam family "tRNA". From Rfam's summary of the family: Transfer RNA (tRNA) molecules are approximately 80 nucleotides in length. Their secondary structure includes four short double-helical elements and three loops (D, anti-codon, and T loops). Lineage: Archaea; Nanobdellati; Candidatus Woesearchaeota. The record is from RNAcentral.
GACCCUGUAGCGCAGCCUGGAUAGCGCGACUGCCUCCUAAGCAGUAGGUCGGGAGUUCGAAUCUCCCCAGGGUCG